Phalacrocorax carbo (great cormorant) is the source of this 1040-nucleotide non-coding RNA. The record is from RefSeq and is a predicted model, not a curated record. Lineage: Eukaryota; Metazoa; Chordata; Aves; Suliformes; Phalacrocoracidae.
GGGAGGGGACCCGGGGGGCACCGGGGGGGGCACCGGGGGGGGCGGGGCGUGAGGGACGGCCCCCUGGGUGGGGGGUCACCAAUGGGUGGCUUCGAUGGGGGGCGGCGCCAACGGGGCGGCACCAAUGGGCGGCCUCAGCGGGGGGCGGCCCCAUGGGGGGGGGGUGGGGGUGGGGUGGGGGUGUCACCAAUGGGGCGGCCUCAAUGGGGUGACCUCAGUGGAGGACGCACCCAAUGGGGCGGCUUCAAUGGCGGGUGUCCCCAAGGGAGGCAACCAAUGGGGUGGCCCCAAUGAUGUGACAUCAGUGGAGGAUGCACCCAAUGGGGUGGCUUCAAUGGGGAUGUCACCAAUGGGGUGGCUUCAAUGGCGGGUGUCCCCCAAGGGAGGCACCCAAUGGGGUGACCUCAAUGGAGGACGCACCCAAUGGGGGAGUCCCCAAUGACAUGACAUCAGCGGAGGACACACCCAAUGGGGUGGCUUCAAUGGGGGACGCACCCAAUGGGGUGGCCCCAAUGGGGUGACCUCAGCGGAGGAUGUACCCAAUGGGGUGGCCCCAAUGGUGUGACCUCAAUGGAGGACGCACCCAAUGGGGUGGCCCCAAUGGUGUGACCUCAGCGGAGGAUGUACCCAAUGGGGUGUCCCCAAUGGUGUGACAUCAGCGGAGGAUGUAUCCAAUGGGGUGGCCCCAAUGGUGUGACCUCAAUGGAGGACGCACCCAAUGGGGUGGCCCCAAUGGUGUGACCUCAAUGGAGGAUGUACCCAAUGGGGUGGCCCCAAUGACGUGACCUCAGCGGAGGACGCACCCAAUGGGGUGGCUUCAACGGGGGACGCACCCAAUGGGGUAGCCCCGGCGGGGGCGGGGUCCCUCAGGGCGGCCCCCUGUGGGCGGGGCCCCGGCGAGGAGGGGUCCCGGGGGCGGGGCCCCGGCGGGGGUGGGGGGUCCCGGGGGGGGUCCCGGGGGUCCCCGCGGCGGCGCCAAAUGUCCACUAUUUAUCUGCAUCAGUGAGUGUUAGAGACGCCAAUAAACACCGUAGCGCUGA